This 395-nucleotide ribosomal RNA is filed under the name uncultured bacterium. RNAcentral's name for it is "partial 16S ribosomal RNA". It matches the Rfam family "Bacterial small subunit ribosomal RNA", at positions 523 to 918 of the family's 1533-position model. The record is from RNAcentral.
AUACGUAGGGUGCAAGCGUUAAUCGGAAUUACUGGGCGUAAAGCGUGCGCAGGCGGUUUUGUAAGACACAGGUGAAAUCCCCGGGCUCAACCUGGGGACUGCCUUUGUAACUGCCAGGCUAGAGUACGGGAGAGGGGGGUGGAAUUCCGCGUGUAGCAGUGAAAUGCGUAGAUAUGCGGAGGAACACCGAUGGCGAAGGCAGUCCCCUGGGCCAUGACUGACGCUCAUGCACGAAAGCGUGGGGAGCAAACAGGAUUGGAUUCCCUGGUAGUCCACGCCCUAAACGAUGUCAACUGGUUGUUGGGUCUUCAUUGACCCAGUAACGAAGCUAACGCGUGAAGUUGACCGCCCGGGGAGUACGGCCGCAAGGUUGAAACUUAAAGGAAUUGACGGGG